GACGAACGCUGGCGGCGUGCUUAACACAUGCAAGUCGAGCGGUAGGGCCCAGCUUGCUGGGUACACGAGCGGCGAACGGGUGAGUAACACGUGGGUGACCUGCCCCGCACUUCGGGAUAAGCCUGGGAAACUGGGUCUAAUACCGGAUAUUACACAUGGUCUCGCAUGGGGUUGUGUGGAAAGUUUUUUCGGUGUGGGAUGGGCCCGCGGCCUAUCAGCUUGUUGGUGGGGUAACGGCCCACCAAGGCAGCGACGGGUAGCUGGUGUGAGAGCAUGA
This 277-nucleotide ribosomal RNA is filed under the name uncultured bacterium. RNAcentral describes it as "partial 16S ribosomal RNA". It matches the Rfam family "Bacterial small subunit ribosomal RNA", at positions 28 to 303 of the family's 1533-position model. The record is from RNAcentral.